This 460-nucleotide ribosomal RNA is filed under the name uncultured bacterium. Its description in RNAcentral is "partial 16S ribosomal RNA". It matches the Rfam family "Bacterial small subunit ribosomal RNA", at positions 338 to 795 of the family's 1533-position model. The record is from RNAcentral.
CCUACGGGUGGCAGCUGUGAGGAAUAUUGGUCAAUGGACGCAAGUCUGAACCAGCCAUGCCGCGUGCAGGAAGACGGCCCUAUGAGUUGUAAACUGCUUUUGUACGAGGGUAAAUUCAGAUACGCGUAUCUGUUUGAAAGUAUCGUACGAAUAAGGAUCGGCUAACUCCGUGCCAGCAGCCGCGGUAAUACGGAGGAUUCAAGCGUUAUCCGGAUUUAUUGGGUUUAACGGGUGCGUAGGCGGUGGGAUAAGUGAGUGGUGAAAUCCCGAGGCUCAACUUCGGAAUUGCAUCUGAUACUGUCAGGCUAGAGAGUAGUUGCGGUAGGCGGAAUGUAUGGUGUAGCGGUGAAAUGCUUAGAGAUCAUACAGAACACCGAUUGCGAAGGCAGCUUACCAAGCUACUACUGACGUUGAGGCACGAAAGCGUGGGGAGCAAACAGGAUUAGAUACCCUAGUAGUC